This 604-nucleotide ribosomal RNA is filed under the name Bradyrhizobium sp. MZP21. RNAcentral describes it as "bacterial SSU rRNA". It matches the Rfam family "Bacterial small subunit ribosomal RNA", at positions 38 to 684 of the family's 1533-position model. The record is from RNAcentral. Lineage: Bacteria; Pseudomonadati; Pseudomonadota; Alphaproteobacteria; Hyphomicrobiales; Nitrobacteraceae.
GGNGGNGGGCUUGCCGCUUACACAUGCAGGUCGAGCGCCCCGCAAGGGGAGCGGCAGACGGGUGAGUAACGCGUGGGAACGUACCAUUUGCUACGGAAUAACUCAGGGAAACUUGUGCUAAUACCGUAUGUGCCCGAAAGGGGAAAGAUUUAUCGGCAAAUGAUCGGCCCGCGUUGGAUUAGCUAGUUGGUGGGGUAAAGGCCUACCAAGGCGACGAUCCAUAGCUGGUCUGAGAGGAUGAUCAGCCACACUGGGACUGAGACACGGCCCAGACUCCUACGGGAGGCAGCAGUGGGGAAUAUUGGACAAUGGGCGCAAGCCUGAUCCAGCCAUGCCGCGUGAGUGAUGAAGGCCCUAGGGUUGUAAAGCUCUUUCACCGGUGAAGAUAAUGACGGUAACCGGAGAAGAAGCCCCGGCUAACUUCGUGCCAGCAGCCGCGGUAAUACGAAGGGGGCUAGCGUUGUUCGGAUUUACUGGGCGUAAAGCGCACGUAGGCGGGCUAAUAAGUCAGGGGUGAAAUCCCGGGGCUCAACCCCGGAACUGCCUUUGAUACUGUUAGUCUUGAGUAUGGUAGAGGUGAGUGGAAUUCCUGGUGUAGCGGUGA